RNAcentral lists this unclassified non-coding RNA (302 nucleotides) under Aethionema arabicum. Its description in RNAcentral is "sequence contains ITS1, 5.8S rRNA gene and ITS2". The record is from RNAcentral. Lineage: Eukaryota; Viridiplantae; Streptophyta; Magnoliopsida; Brassicales; Brassicaceae.
ACCAACACKGCUAUGAGASAGGUUUUUGUUCCCCCCGUGAGCCGGAACCGUCUUGGUGUCCUUGUUUCGGAUUUCCGCGGACCCCGUGCGGKACCUUUUGGGGGAUCAACUUGCGUCCCUUAUCCAUSAUGGAUGGAGGGAUAACGUUUUGCCCCACCCAGGCAAACGUGCCCGCAGCCCGAAGGCUUGGGGCCCAACUUGCGUUCCAAGACUCGAUGGUUCACGGGAUUCUGCAAUUCACACCAAGUAUCGCAUUUCGCUACGUUCUUCAUCGAUGCUMGAGCCGAAAUAUCCGUUGCCGA